Podarcis lilfordi (Lilford's wall lizard) is the source of this 74-nucleotide non-coding RNA. Lineage: Eukaryota; Metazoa; Chordata; Lepidosauria; Squamata; Lacertidae. The record is from the annotation of a GenBank genome assembly.
UGCACAAUAACUCAGCUGCUAGAGCCUGAGACUCUUAAUCUCAGGGUUGUGGGUUCGAGCCCCACAUUGGGCAA